CUCCCCCGGACCUUGUAAAAUUUCUAAUCAAGAGACUCAGUGAGUCAGUCAGCCCACCACGUGACUCCUGCAGAAGAUUCAGCCCAUUGAAGCGAGUGGGAGCUGAGCGGGCCACCACUCAGCCCUACUUCUUCACACCCAGCACCUACCCUGGGGUUACACUACAAGCAGUUUCUGCGAACUCCCUCUGAGGUCGGAAAGAUACACAGCCCUCCCUCCUGGGUACCGCUUAUUCCCUUCCCCACUUCCUUAUUAAUGACAGGCACAUCCCUGGAGCCACCAGCUCAGCUCCGCCUCCCUUCCAGCGCAGCCUCUGAUUGGACCUCUGUCUGGCUCCUCCCACUUCUUCCCCAGACCAGCCUCUGGCAUUAGCUUGCCCUCACCCUCCUUGAAGGUCGGGUGCUCCACUACUGGAGGUAGAAGGGUGGAAUUGCGCUUGUUUUGCCCUACUUCAAAUACUUUUUGGGGGGCUGCGUGAGACUAUGAAGAAAUACUGGGGGAGUAGGCCAUGGGCCUUUCUAGCUUGAGACCCGGGCCUGCAGCUCGGACCCUCUGAGAACCUCAUGAAAGCAUUCCAGGAUGUAAUAAACCCGUCAAGCCUCGGCUAAUUUAUAUGGAAGCAGAUGAUUUCCCAUUUUUUAGAAUGUAAAUGUUUACAUUGUAGCAUUCCCCUGCCCCCGGCAUCCGGGGCCCUGGCACGUCAGUGAUGGAAUCAGCCGCUUCUCCUCGGGGAUCCUUAGAUGGAAGCGUCACGAUGCCAAGAAGCGUCCCGCUUUCAGCCAGCCCGGGUGUGCAAACCCCGCACCAAGGAAGGCCACCAAGCGUUUGCUUAAUGUUACCAAGUUCCACGUGGCUCUUACAGAGGAGAAGUAGCACUUUUAAGGGUAAGCCUCAGAACAGAGGGUGCAAUUCUGACUAUGUAGCUUCCCAAGGUCUCUUUGCUACACUUCUCUCCUCUAAGACAGUCAAUUCCUUACGAGCUCUAAUGUAUUAGCUUUAUAUGGGAGUUUUGUGUUGUAGAAAUAGUGACUAGCAUAGAUGGGUGGGAAACCUUGACAACAAUCCAAGGAAAUUAUGCUUUAGCUCAUAGACCCCCUGAGUGCCCUACUACCCCUCUGUGUGCAGGUCUGCUUGAGGCUAAGAACCCUGCCCUUUAACACUCUGGGUGUCUGUGAACAAGUGCAACUCCUAGAAAAGGGUUCGCCACUUGGUCAUAAGCCCCAGAAACUACAAAGGUCUCCUUGGAUCCCUGUGAGAGCAAAGAGCCACUGCGAUUCGUGCCACUGGUCACCCAGGCACGCCUGGGGUUCUGGUGCCUGCUCCAUUAGACAAGCGCAUGUUCUGUUCAAUAGGAGCCAUAUAUGCUACCUGGACCUUUAGCUUCCUCACUGGCCAAGUGAGGAAGUAUGUCUGACCCUCCCCACCUCUAACAAAUAGUGAGGGAGAAGUAAAAGCCCUUCCCCCACCCAGGAGUGGGAAAAGAUACAGCACCUUGGAACCCUGGUCCUUCGGUUACUACCAUGCCGGACUGUGUGUCCUUGGGUAAGUGACUCACCUCUCUGUGCUCCGUGUUCUUUAAGAUGACGAGAUACUAAACUAUAGUAGCAAUCUCCUAGCUACUAAUAAUUGCCAGGUGCUGAGUUUUUCACUCCCUGGUCUACAGAGCAGUCAGUGAGGGUAUCUGAGACUGGACCAUCUGCCUGGCAAACAAUGCUUGCCGGCUGGCUGGUGGCAGACAGUGCUCAAGGACUGGAGAAGGCGGGUGUGACCCAGGGGCAUUCUUGCACUCAAGAGAUCCUGUGCCUCACCCCGCCCCCCAUCAGAUCAAUGGAUCAACUGUAACUGUGAUGUACCUGACCACCGUUCUCCAUACCUGCUCUCAGAAUCCAUGGCAAAAACAGGGGUCAGCCCCCUCUCCAGCUGAACUAGGUCACCUGAGGACACAGUUUCCAGGGAAAACAUCUGAGUGAGCCUCUCCAGUCCAUCUCAGCCUUGCUGGGGUCUAAAGCUCAUGGCAGCCCGAGACCCCAUAGCCACCAGUGCAGAAGACCAAGCCCACUGUCUCCAUCAACCUGAAGCCUGUCCAGAGCUCAGCAGGUAGCCCUCCUCCUGCUUCUAAGAACCAAGCGUCAUUCGGUCAGCUUAGAGCCAUUUCUCUUCCUCCAGGGAAAUGCAAUCGACUAAGGGCCCUUCCCUACUCCACCCCCAGGUCUCCCCAGCCUUGUAACCUGAGUGCCCCCCAAACACUUUCUGGCAGUUUCUGCUCCAGCCAGCUCUAGACCUGCUAGAGAUUCUCUUGUUUUUAUCCUAGUGACUGUGAGUGGCAUCUCUGGCCCCAGCCUUGGUGGGAUUUAAUGAGCUAGGCUACAUCACAGUGCCCACCGAAGCCACUGAAACCUCCCUUCUACCUAGGAUGACGCCACAUCCUGCCUUUUCCCAAGCAGCUCCUGGCCUUGCCUACCCAGGCUCUCCCUCCUCUCUGGUACAGCCUGCUCAAAGAAGGGCCAAGAAGUACAGCCUUCACAGGGCUCUCAACGAACCCCUGGGUGGAAGGCAGAAUGGAAUCCUCUUUGGACCUGUGUCCACGUUAUGGGUCAUAAAGGCCUUUAUGUGCCUAUAAAGCAGAAUUCCUGCAAAGCCUUUCCAUUCCAACAUGCUACCUGCAGUAAACUGCCGCUGUACACACACAGCCCUCAUGACCGACAGGGUCUACACACGUGCACGCCACCAGUGUCACCUGCAUCCACCUGGCUAGGAAGGGCUGCCAGGGGGCAGGGGAGUCUUAGUCCCAGCCCUGGCACCUGAUCUGGGUCUGUUGCCCCAUCUCAGUGAGUAAGAUUUCCUGCCUGGAGCCCCACCAUAACCACAGCUCAGACAUCAAACUAGCGUAAAACUCACUUUCCACUUUAUCUAUCCAUUCAGUGUCGGGUCAUUCGCUGAAGCACAGGGUGAGUCUCCUGACCCUAACUUCCCAUCGACAGCAGUCUGGAAGCCCAAAUCCUACUCAAUGACCAGCACACAGUAGGUACUUAAGAUCAGCAGAGAAGUAACAAGGAAUCCGCUAGUUCAGCCUCCAAAGCAGAGCCUCCAUGUGUAGGGGCAGAAGAAAGGGACCUCAUUUUUUGUCCUUUGUGCAAAUUAACAAUGAUGGCUCUACAGGGCAAGAGACAUUGCUUAUGACAACUGAGGCUCAACUUCAAGCUCACCCCCCACAAGAGAGCACCUGGACGCCUCUCCGAAGAGCAACAAAUACACUUUGGAGAGUGCCGGGGAUUGCCAGGAGCGCCAACUACAUUUCCAGCCUGACACCCAGCUGCAACAAAGCAGAUUCCUUUCUUCCCUUCUCUCGAAAAGCCUAAUCCAGAUAAGCCGGACCGACAAUGGCUGCCUGGCCACGAAAGACUUCCCUUUCCCGGGUGAUGGGACUCACACCUGGUGACAUCAGCCUGGCACAGUUCUAAGUGUAGGGGUGGCCAAACACCAGCUCCCAAUGCUUCCGCACCCAAAGCCCCAGCUUCAGCCAAGAGCGACUGCCCUUCCCCUUCCCCCCACAUUGCCAGUCUAGGACUAACCUACCCAGCAACAUCAGGACAGCAGGACAAUUCCGAAGGGUAGGUACUAGGUGACGUGGUCAUAUCUUUAGCUACUGGGAAGCCAAAAAAACACUGGCAGGGCUGGCCUUCUGCUAAUGUGGCUGGAUUGUUCCCCAGAGUUUCCCAGAGGAGUGGGUCCUGGGUCUGUUGAUCUAGAACAUUCUUUUCUGUGGUCUGACUCCUGCCAAAUUCUCCCAGGAUGUGACCCCUGCCAUCAGAUGACUGAGAACAGAUGGCAAACCCUGUGACUCUCCUAAGACCCUAACCUCACGUGGACAGGCUGAACUACUUGUCGCCAUCUUGAGAUCACUGCCCAGAGACCCUCUUUUCAUGUCUUCCUCCAGGGAGCUGGCUCUAGUCUGUGUUUGGAGAAAGAGGGGGACAGGCAGCCUGUCAGGAAUACCUUUCCACACAGGUGAAUCUUUCCACACGGUCGCACCAGGAUUCGGGUGACCUCAAAUGCAAACCUUAAAUGGCUCCCAUACCUCAAUAGCCUUCAUCUCUGCGUGUCUGACAUAGGCAGCGUACUUCAGAAACUAUGGCUCCAAAGGCAAGCUAAGAGGGACAGAGAUCCCAGGUGGGCAGGGACGGGAGCCGGUGUCAGUCGUCAAGAGCACCAUUCUGCCAUCAGACCCACAGCUUCCACCCCGCCACCACCAACUGCUGUACUGACCGCUGUUGCUGCAAAAGCACCACAAGUCCCUGGGACCCAAGGUACUGACCCUGAAGUGACGCCUGAGUGACAGUAGCUCCUUGUCCAAGCCCCUUGACUGCUACGUUAAGGUAUGUGGUCAGUGGAGGAAAGAAGAAAGAUGCUUCCCCAGGGCAGGGGAGUAAAUAGCCAAAGGCCAUGUUGUCCAUGAGGUACAGUCUGCCCGAGCCAGCAGACUUGAAUGGAGAUUGAAUUUGGAGAACACGGCAGGAAGCAGGGGUCUGUGACUAUCGGGGUGAUUGCCGCUGUACUUUGCUUUGUCUUUAGCCAUGGAAGCUUCUGGAUAGAAAAACCAAACCCAGAAUUGUCACCGAGAGACAGAGUUAGCUGAGGCAACUGUAACAGUAAAGACAGAAGCGUUGGAAGAGUAUAGAGUGGUCAGGCAGAAGGCUCGAGGGGCAGGCCAAAGCUGCCCAUGGUUGAGGGAUGAGAUGGAGGGGAAGGGAGUGGUCUGGAGAGAAGAGACGGACCUUAACGAGGCUCGCGGCGGCAGGGGAGCAGGUCCAAGCACCAGACUGGGAUGCCCGGGAGAUUCCUAUCUCAGAGCACUUCAGCCUAGGAAGCUAUGGACCACAAGGAUGUCUAGAGCUCCCUACUCAGCAUGGAGUAUGUUUCACAGCAGAUAUUCUUCUACAGGUGCCAAGGUCAGGAGAAGACUGAGAGACACUGUGACAUGUCUCUUCCUCCUCCAAAUGCCUACCAGACCAAGCAUGGACAAGUGCACACCACACACACCUACC
RNAcentral lists this small RNA (5045 nucleotides) under Rattus norvegicus (Norway rat). Its description in RNAcentral is "uncharacterized LOC103694034". The record is from RNAcentral. Lineage: Eukaryota; Metazoa; Chordata; Mammalia; Rodentia; Muridae.